CCUACGGGGGGCAGCAGUGGGGAAUAUUGCGCAAUGGGCGAAAGCCUGACGCAGCGACGCCGCGUGAGGGAUGAAGGUCUUCGGAUCGUAAACCUCUUUCAGCAGGGAAGAACGGUCACUGUGCUAUUCAGCUGUGCAUUGACGGUACCUGCAAAGACAGCACCGGCUAACUCCGUGCCAGCAGCCGAGGUAAUACGGAGGGUGCGAGCGUUAAUCGGAAUUACGGGGCGUAAAGCGCUCGUAGGCGGUAUGUCAAGUCAAGGGUGAAAUCCCCGGGCUCAACGUGGGAACUGCCUUUGAAACUGACAAGCUUGAGUGUGUGAGAGGCUAGUGGAAUUCCUAGUGUAGCGGUGAAAUGCGUAGAUAUGAGGAGGAACACCGGUGGCGAAGGCGGUCUGCUGGACAGCAACUGACGGUGAGGCGCGAAAGCGUGGGGAGCAAACAGGAUUAGAUACCCCGGUAGUC
This 465-nucleotide ribosomal RNA is filed under the name uncultured bacterium. RNAcentral's name for it is "partial 16S ribosomal RNA". It matches the Rfam family "Bacterial small subunit ribosomal RNA", at positions 338 to 795 of the family's 1533-position model. The record is from RNAcentral.